CACGUAGGGGGCGAGCGUUGUCCGGAUUUAUUGGGCGUAAAGAGCUCGUAGGCGGUUCGGCAAGUCGGGUGUGAAAUUUCGAGGCUCAACCUCAAAACGCCACUCGAUACUGCUGUGACUGGAGUCCGGUAGAGGAGUGGCGGAAUUCCUGGUGUAGCGGUGAAAUGCGCAGAUAUCGAGGAGGAACACCAACGGCGAAGGCAGCACUCUGGGCCGGUACUGACGCUGAGGAGCGAAAGCGUGGGGAGCGAACAGG
Molecule: ribosomal RNA, 256 nt
Filed under: uncultured bacterium
Lineage: Bacteria
Description: partial 16S ribosomal RNA
Rfam family: Bacterial small subunit ribosomal RNA
Source: RNAcentral